This 480-nucleotide ribosomal RNA is filed under the name uncultured bacterium. RNAcentral describes it as "partial 16S ribosomal RNA". It matches the Rfam family "Bacterial small subunit ribosomal RNA", at positions 28 to 507 of the family's 1533-position model. The record is from RNAcentral.
GACGAACGCUGGCGGCGUGCUUAACACAUGCAAGUCGAACGAUGAAGAAAAGAAUUGCAGCUUCGGCAGAAAUUCAUCUCGGAUUAGUGGCAGACGGGUGAGUAACGCGUGAGCAACCUACCUCUUACAAAGGGAUAGCCUCGGGAAACCGGGAUUAAUACCAUAUAACAUUGCGACGAAGCAUUUCGAUGCAAUCAAAGCUACGGCGGUAAGAGAUGGGCUCGCGUCCCAUUAACCAGAUGGUGAGGUAACGGCUCACCAUAGUAACGAUGGGUAACCGGCCUGAGAGGGUGAACGGUCACACUGGAACUGAGACACGGUCCAGACUCCUACGGGAGGCAGCAGUGGGGAAUAUUGCACAAUGGAGGGAACUCUGAUGCAGCGACGCCGCGUGAGUGAUGAAGGAAUUCGUUUCGUAAAACUCUGUUCUAUGGGAAGAAAAGGACUGUACCAUAGGAGAAAGCUCCGGCUAAAUACGUG